AAGACAGAGGGGGCAAGCGUUGCUCGGAAUCACUGGGCGUAAAGGGCGCGUAGGCGGGAUGGCAAGUCGGUCGUGAAAUCCUUCGGCUCAACCGAAGAACGUCGGCCGAUACUGCCGUUCUUGAGGGAUGCAGAGGAGAUUGGAAUUCCCGGUGUAGCGGUGAAAUGUGUAGAGAUCGGGAGGAACACCGGUGGCGAAGGCGGAUCUCUGGGCCUUACCUGACGCUGAGGCGCGAAAGCUAGGGGAGCGAACAG
Molecule: ribosomal RNA, 254 nt
Filed under: uncultured prokaryote
Description: partial 16S ribosomal RNA
Rfam family: Bacterial small subunit ribosomal RNA
Source: RNAcentral